Tachysurus vachellii is the source of this 1223-nucleotide long non-coding RNA. RefSeq lists it as uncharacterized. The record is from RefSeq and is a predicted model, not a curated record. Lineage: Eukaryota; Metazoa; Chordata; Actinopteri; Siluriformes; Bagridae. The transcript has 3 exons.
GUGUGUGGUGUGUGUGUGAUGUAGAUAAAACAUGACCGGGCUAAAACGGACAUGGCAGCAAGUCAAACUCAAAUACAAGAACAUUCUGCAGAAUGGUAAGGACCCUGACUAAUACUUAACAAUGCACAAGCAUAUAUUGUACCCAGAAGGUGCCUGCUCACACAUUGUCUGUACUGUUUUAGCAGUGAAAAAGAAUACACACAGACAAGGCACGGGUGGUGGGUCACCAAAAGCUGACCUCACCCCAGCAGAGGACAUAGCCUUGGAGCUAAAUAAAGGCAGGCCCGUGUUGGAGGGGAUCCCUGGGGGGAAAGAGACAAGCAUAGGUCCCUCCCAAGAUGCCACCCGCUUCAUACAAGUGUCUGGCAGCACUGUGUUACUGUUAGAGCCACCAGCACAAGCACCAGACGAUGCCGAUCCAGUGAGUACUCCAUCAAAGGCAUACUGUAGGCCUGGCAUGUCUUCUCUACUAGCUUCAAUAGGAAUCCGAUUAAAUGUGAUAGGGUGAAGGCCCCAGUGCAGCACCAACAGCACAUGACGGCUAUCAGCGCCUAUCACAAAGUGAACUCUCUGGUGUGUUGCUGGGAGACAGGGGGUAUGGCUGCCAGCCUUUUCUCCUGACACCUUUCACAGACCCCUGGGAAGCACAGCAGACCUACAAACAUGCCCAUGCCAGGACCAGGGCCAGAGUUGAAAUGACCUUUGGCCUCCUGAAGGUACGCUUUCACUGCCUUCACAAAUUAAGGGUCAGCCCUGUGAGGGCAUGUGACAUUACUGUGGCUUGUGCUGUCCUCCACAAUGUGGCCUGCCUGAGGAAGGAGAGGGCCCCCAGAGUGCCACCAGCCAUGGACUGGGACAAUCCGGCAAUCUUCCCUGAUGACGACUGUGGUCGACCGCUGAGGGAAUAAUAUGUGUUGAAUUAUUUUAGUUAGUAUGUGUGCUUUCAAUUUUGGUUAAAUAUGUCCUGCGAUGGCAAAGGAAUUUGGGUUUUUUUGUGUUCAAUUUUUUAAUUUUUUUUUAAAUUGAUUUGGCCUCUUAUGGUGUUUGUGCUGUAUACUGUGUGUAAUUUAAGCUUGCAGGGAGGCUACUGCAUCCAUUCAUUUGUCUGUUCAGUUGAUGUGUAUGGAUUUGUCCUGCAUUUAUUUCAGUGUGCAGACAUGCCGGGUGUGUUAUAUACAGACCUUUGAAUGUGUAUUUAUCCUUUUGUUGUAUAAUAUGCUUCG